Molecule: ribosomal RNA, 253 nt
Filed under: uncultured bacterium
Lineage: Bacteria
Description: partial 16S ribosomal RNA
Rfam family: Bacterial small subunit ribosomal RNA
Source: RNAcentral
UACGUAGGUGGCAAGCGUUACUCGGAAUCACUAGGCGUAAAGCGCAGGUAGGCGGUUUGGUAAGUUUGUUGUGAAAGCUCCCGGCUCAACUGGGAGAGGUCAACGAAUACUGCCAGGCUUGAGCACGGUAGAGGCUGGUGGAAUUCCCGGUGUAGCGGUGGAAUGCGUAGAGAUCGGGAAGAACAUCGGUGGCGAAGGCGGCCAGCUGGGCCGUUGCUGACGCUGAGGCGCGACAGCGUGGGGAGCAAACAGG